RNAcentral lists this long non-coding RNA (3689 nucleotides) under Cicer arietinum (chickpea). RNAcentral describes it as "long non-coding RNA (CARI_LNC001643)". The record is from RNAcentral. Lineage: Eukaryota; Viridiplantae; Streptophyta; Magnoliopsida; Fabales; Fabaceae.
UUCAAGAAUCACCUUCCAUGGAAUCUCACCUUUUCCAACAAGAUGUGACCCCAACAUCUUCCUUUGCCUCAGCUCCAACACUAAGCUUUGUUGUUUAAGGUUUUCUAAGAAUUCAUGGGGACACGAACAAUCUAGAUUAAAGGACUCGUUCCAAAAGGGUACUGAUUUGGUUGAAACAUUUUUGGUGUUGAGUUGAAUUCUUUUGUUGUUUCCUGUAGGAAGAUACAACCUUGCAAACAAGUUUUUCGUAGAUUUGAUGGAUUCAGUGUUUCUAGCUUGAAUUAUUCUCACUUCACAGCUGAAGUAAGCAUGGGAUGGAUCCAUUGAAAAUUUGAGAAUAGUAGGAAUGUGUCUAGUUAUGUGUUUUAGCUUGAAAAAUAGAGAGGAAAUUAAGAUGUUUGUUUGAGUUGUUCUAUGCGAUCCAUGUAUUAUAUAGUGUGAAAAAAGUGAAUAGGAAAUGGUUUUCAAUUUCCAUGAUGCGAUCCAUGUAUUGUAUAAGAUUGUCUAGUAUCUCAGUUGUACUUUUUGUGAAUAUUUUAAUACCAACUUAAUCUUAAAUCAUGCACAUGUGAUUUUGCUGAAGAUUGUAUCUUAUUAAAGAAAACCUUUAGAAUCUUGAUGGGGGAAGAUUUUCCAAUUUGGCUCUUGCAAGUCGCAAUAUUUUAUUGUGAAUAAACGAGGUUUCAUUUUUAGUGAACUAAAAGGCUUCAAUGCUGGCCUCAACUAGCCAUCACAAAAGCUAAGGCAUUCUUAUCAAACUCACUAGUUGUAAUAAUGUACAUAAACUAUAAAGCAUUGUUAUUACCAAUAUUUUAUCUUUUUAUAUUUAUUAGACUUGUAUAUCAUUGUGAAUAUAUCCUCACCUUGGAAAAUACUCUCUUCUAUUUUUUUAUUUUUUUCUCCCAUCUCUAUUUUCCUUUACUUUAGAAUAUUUUAAUCUAGUUUUGGUUAAUUUUAAAACACAUUAACCUAACUGAUAAUUUAAUUUGUUUAGCUAACAUAAUUAUCAAUUCUAGAAUCUAAAUUUUAUUAAAUAACAAACACUAUUUUAGCUUUUAAAUUGGAGUAUAAACGAAAGUACAUGUUAAUUAAUGUGUUUUCGACAUGAUUUGUUUUGUGCAUUUCAUAACACGAAGCUACAUUUUAUUUAAAUUAUUUAAUAUUAGUUUUAUUAAUGUAGUUGAUGUAAUUCUAUCAUAAAAAAAAAUUAUGUAAUUGUUUUAAUUGUAUAAAAAAAAUUAGGGAUUAUUUACUUUGUGAAAAUAAUUUCAAUUUUUAUUUUUAGAAAUUUGUGUUAAUUUUAUUUGUUAAUACGGAGAUAACAGAUUUUUGAAGUGAACAAUCGUCUACAUUUUUAGAAACAUUAAAGAUGUCAAAAAAAUUAUUUUUAUUAUUUUCUUAAACACAUAUUCAUUAACUAGAGUUUUAUAUUCUCUUCUUGACAAUAGUUAAUUUCAAGAGUCUUUCAUCAAGACAAAAUAAACACAUAUUUAAGAAAAUAAAAACACAAAAUAUUUUCAUAGAAUAAACGGGACCAUAGCGAUUGAAUUUUUUAUUUUUAGAUUUUUAAAAGCAAGUGUCUUAAUUUUUUUAAAUGUCCACCUAAUUGAGUCUAACUAAGUGAACAUAAUUUUCAUCAAUUUGAUUUGAAUUGUGUGGAAAAAUUAUAAAAGUUGAACCAUGAUCGGCUAACUUUUUGGUUCAUAUUUUAUUCUUUUCAAAAAAUGAAUCAAAUUGAUAUGUUACAUGCAUAACACCAUUCUCUCAAAUUUGUGAUGAUUCUCGGUCAAAUUCUCUCUGCAUGUGUCAUUGCAUUUGCGAAUUUUGUCUAUUUUUACGUUAAAAAUUUAUAACUUAAAAUUUUAAUAUACAAUAAAAUAUUAUAUUUAAUUUAUCAAUUAAUUUUAAAAUUUAGUCACUGCUAAAAUAUUAAGAUAUAUAUUUUUAAAUGAUUUUUCGCAUACAUAUUUACAAUAUAAAAAGUUUUUUCAUAAAAAAGUAAACUUCAAAUUUAUAUUUUUGUUAUUUUUAUUUUCAAAUUAUAUCAUUUAAAAUAUUUAAAUUUAUUUAAUUUAAAAUAAAAAAUAAAUUAAAUUUUGAUGGAGCAAUAAAAUGAUAAAAAUUUACGGUACUAAUUUUUGUUUUUACGACUAGAAACAAAAUAGAAGAGUGGUGUGAAAAAGAUUAGAUGAGAAGAGAGAUUUGAAAUGUAUUUUUCAAUUCAAAAAUGGAUCCGUAGCAUUUAUGUAUCUAUCUAUCUAUCUCCCACGCCUAAACAUUCACAUUCUAUUUCUAUUCAUUCAUUCAUUCACACACAAAAUGCCAGGAAGUACGCCGGUGAGAAAGCCACACACUAACACCUCCGAUCUCCUCACUUGGUCCGAAGUCCCUCCGCCUGAAUCCUCCUUCACCCCCUCCUCCACCCGCUCUCGCCAGGUUACUAUUUUUUCUUUUUCUCAUCUCUCUCUCUCUCUCUCUCUCUCUCUCAUGUAACUAACUACAUUCUCUCUCUCUCUUUCAAUCAUUCACUUCAUUCAUAUUACAGCCUUCUGAUAGAAUCAGUAAGGUUCUCAAUAGCGACCAGCUCACCGAAGAAGAAGCUCAGACUCUCACCCAAAGGUCUACAUCAUUUCCUAAAUAUUAACUCAUAACUCAGAUCAGAUCUUCUACUUUUUUCUUUCUUCACUUUCCUUUUUUUCAUCGUUCUUCGAUCUGAUUUAAUAUCUCUAUACUUUUCUGCAUAGAUCUGUUUCUUUAUUUGUAAUUCCAAGUAAUCUCAACAACACUGUGUUAGUAAUAUUAGAUAAAACUUUUUGCAUGAACUGUUCAAAUGAACCUACAUCAGCUUCCACAUUUUUGUUAUUAGUCUAUAUAUAUUUAUUAAAAAAAUAUAUGUACUUCUGCAUAAUUGAGCGCGUUGUACAUUAAUUUUUUGUUAUUGAUGUUAUUCAUGGGGUUUAUGUGUUCAAAUGAACAAAAAAAAUGUAUUUCAUUCAUAGUUGAUAGGUAUGAUACUUCCUUAAACCAUAUAUACAGUUCCAACAUAAAGAAUUAGAAUCUAAUGCGCUUGCAAAGUCAUUUUAGAGUAAAAACAGAUAAUUAAAGGAACCUCUAAUCAUAUACAUAUAGAAUCAAUUGUCCACUGUUCAUAAAUAAUAAUCAAAUUAAUUAGUUGAUGUUAGUGCAUAUACAUUUAUAUGGCAUAUUAAUCUUGCAUCAAGUUAAAUCAAAAAGCCUCCAAAGCUGCACCAAAUGCAAAUAUAUUACAAUCUUCAGCACAACACCAAACAUUGGGAUCAUGUCCAUGUUUGCAUCCACACUCAUUCCAAUUAUUCAACAUCUUUCUAUUCUGCUUCUCCAUCUCAAUAAUCGAAGCCACUCUUAUUUUAAUUUCCACUUCAACUUCAGGUGCUUUCAACAUACCCUCUUUGCAAUCACUUCCACUCACCAAAUCCAUCUUCAACCAUUUUUUCAAUUCCAUGUUUUGUGAUUCAAGAAUCACCUUCCAUGGAAUCUCACCUUUUCCCACAAGAUGUGACCCCAACAUCUUCCUUUGCCUCAGCUCCAACACUAAGCUUUGUUGUUUAAGGUUUUCUAGGAAUUCAUGGGGACACGAACAAUCUAGAUUAAAGGACUCGUUCCAAAAGGGUACUGAUUUGGUUGAAACAUUUUUGGUGUUGAGUUGAAUU